This 486-nucleotide ribosomal RNA is filed under the name uncultured bacterium. RNAcentral describes it as "partial 16S ribosomal RNA". It matches the Rfam family "Bacterial small subunit ribosomal RNA", at positions 28 to 507 of the family's 1533-position model. The record is from RNAcentral.
GACGAACGCUGGCGGCGUGCUUAACACAUGCAAGUCGUACGAUGACCCGGCUCUUCGGAGCUGGUGAUUAGUGGCGAACGGGUGAGUAACACGUGGGUGACCUGCCCUGCACUCUGGGAUAAGCCCGGGAAACUGGGUCUAAUACUGGAUACGACCAGUGGCCGCAUGGUCUGCUGGUGGAAAGCCCUUCGGGGUGGUGUGGGAUGGCCCGCGGCCUAUCAGCUUGUUGGUGGGGUGAUGGCCUACCAAGGCGACGACGGGUAGCCGGCCUGAGAGGGUGUCCGGCCACACUGGGACUGAGACACGGCCCAGACUCCUACGGGAGGCAGCAGUGGGGAAUCUUGCACAAUGGGCGAAAGCCUGAUGCAGCGACGCCGCGUGAGGGAUGACGGCCUUCGGGUUGUAAACCUCUUUCGGCAGGGAACAAGCCUGGGGGUUUUCUUCUGGGUGAGGGUACCUGCGGAAGAAGCACCGGCUAACUACGUG